CCAAAGUGGUCGCUACCACUGGAAGGGUCGGUUCUGAUCAAUACAGAUGCGGCAAUCUUCUCAGACUCGUGUCGUAUGGGUAUCAGAGUUGUCAUCCGUGACCAUCUGGGAGUAGUACGGCCUGCUUGCAGAUGCUAUGUGGACCAGGUGGAAGACCCAGAACUUGCUGAAGCCAUAGCGGUGCGACAUGCCUUAUCAUUCAUUGAAGAAGCUGGCUUCCAAUCUAUUAUUAUGGCAUCUGAUUGCUCUACUGUAGUGAAUAAGGUGAAGAAUGUGACAACUGAUAGAUCUCAGAUAGGUGUCGUAAUAUAUGACAUCAAAAGUAGGGCUUUUAAGUUUAAAUCUUGUAUGUUUACUCAUGUCAACCGAUCAUGUAAUGUGGCAGCUCAUGUUCUUGCUAGAUCUGCAGAGCAUGACCCUGGGUCCUGCUGGUUUAAUGUUGUACCUGAUGUAAUCAGGACCAUCAUUUGUUCUGAAACAUUUGCUGAAUGA
Molecule: ribosomal RNA, 492 nt
Filed under: Triticum aestivum (bread wheat)
Lineage: Eukaryota; Viridiplantae; Streptophyta; Magnoliopsida; Poales; Poaceae
Description: partial small subunit ribosomal RNA
Source: RNAcentral